AUUGAACGCUGGCGGCAGGCCUAACACAUGCAAGUCGAACGGCAGCACGGUGCUUGCUUGUGGUUACGGCUGGCGAGUGGCGGACGGGGGCUAAGAACCUGCGUGGUUGUGUUUUCUUACGUGCUGACGCGGGCGCUCUUACGCCAUUCGUCCAUAGGGCCUAAGGGUGGGAGCAUCGGACCUUCCGCUCUCGCGUGAGCCUAUGUCGGAUUAGCUAGUUGGCGGGGUAAAGGCCUACCAAGGCGACGAUCCGUCGCUGGUCUGAGAGGAUGAUCAGACACACUGGAACUGAGACACGGUCCAGACUCCUACGGGAGGCAGCAGUGGGGAAUAUUGGACAAUGGGCGCAAGCCUGAUCCAGCCAUGCCGCGUGGGUGAAGAAGGUCUUCGGGUUGUAAAGCCCUUUUGUUGGGGAAGAAAGGCAGUAAGUUAAUACCCCGCUGUUUUGACGGUACCAAAAGAAUAAGCACCGGCUAACUUCGUG
Molecule: ribosomal RNA, 484 nt
Filed under: uncultured bacterium
Lineage: Bacteria
Description: partial 16S ribosomal RNA
Rfam family: Bacterial small subunit ribosomal RNA
Source: RNAcentral